UGACCAACUGUGGCAAACAGUGACCAUGGG
Molecule: non-coding RNA, 30 nt
Filed under: Mus musculus (house mouse)
Lineage: Eukaryota; Metazoa; Chordata; Mammalia; Rodentia; Muridae
Source: RNAcentral